RNAcentral lists this ribosomal RNA (267 nucleotides) under uncultured bacterium. Its description in RNAcentral is "partial 16S ribosomal RNA". It matches the Rfam family "Bacterial small subunit ribosomal RNA", at positions 793 to 1055 of the family's 1533-position model. The record is from RNAcentral.
GUCCACGCUGUAAACGAUGGGCACUAGGUGUCGCGGGUAUUGACCCCCGCGGUGCCGCAGCUAACGCAUUAAGUGCCCCGCCUGGGGACGUACGGCCGCAAGGCUAAAACUCAAAGGAAUUGACGGGGGCCCGCACAAGCGGUGGAGCAUGUGGUUUAAUUCGACGCAACGCGAAGAACCUUACCCCGGGCUAGACAACAGAGGACAGCCCUAGAGAUAGGGUCUUCCCUUCGGGGACCUCUGGUUCAGGUGCUGCAUGGCUGUCGU